GAUGAACGCUGGCGGCGUGCCUAAUACAUGCAAGUCGAGCGAACGGACGAGAAGUUUGCUUCUCUGAUGUUAGCGGCGGACGUGUGAGUAACACGUGGAUAACCCACCUAUCUUACUGGUAUAACUUCGGGAAACCGGAUCUAAUACCGGAUAAUAUCUUGAACCGCAUUGUUCAAGAGUGAAUUACGGUCUUGCUGUCACUUAUAGAUGUAUCCGCGCUGCAUUAGCUAGUUGGUAAGGUAACGGCUUGCCAAGGCAACGAUGCAUAGCCGACCUGAGAGGGUGAUCGGCGACACUGGAACUGAGACACGGUCCAGACUCCUACGGGAGGCAGCAGUAGGGAAUCUUCCGCAAUGGGCGAGAGCCUGACGGAGCAACGCCGCGUGAGUGAUGGAGGUCUUCGGGUCGUAAGACUCUGUGAUUAGGGAAGAACAUAUGUGUAAGUAACUGUGCACAUCUUGACGGUACCUGAUCAAAAAGCCACGGCUAACUACGUG
Molecule: ribosomal RNA, 497 nt
Filed under: uncultured bacterium
Lineage: Bacteria
Description: partial 16S ribosomal RNA
Rfam family: Bacterial small subunit ribosomal RNA
Source: RNAcentral